This is a long non-coding RNA of Nyctereutes procyonoides (raccoon dog), 1958 nucleotides long. RefSeq lists it as uncharacterized. Lineage: Eukaryota; Metazoa; Chordata; Mammalia; Carnivora; Canidae. The record is from RefSeq and is a predicted model, not a curated record. The transcript is spliced from 3 exons.
GCCGAGGGCGCGCCGCUGCCCGGCGCUGGGCGCCAGCCUCCAGCCGCCUGCGGGGCCCGCGAGCUGUCCGCCGCCGCGGGGGUGCUGGCGUGGGUCCCUCGCCGUCCGGCGGCGACUGUAAAUAGAGCCUGGAUGUUGUUUACAUGAAGGAUCCGGCGGGAGGAGUCUGCGAGGAGGAGGCGGAGGAGGAGGGAGGGAAGACAGAGGAAGAGCGGAGUCCCCGCGGCGGCCGCGUCCGGGGGACCCGGCGCUACCACGAGGCCGGGACGCUGGAGCCUGGGAAGGGGGAAGGGACUUGGCGGAGAUCGCCUGCUCCCGGCCGCAGCUGAACCCACGGCUUCUCCCUGCCUUCCCGGGCCAAGGAAUCUUUUCCCUCGCUCAGCUACCCUCGCGCCAGCUGCCACCUUCUUGGAGAAGGACCACACCUGUGCUCAUUCUCGCUCUGGAGGAGAGGUGAGCUGAAAAAAACCAUGAAGUCUUGCGUUCCCCAGACUUCUUAGCGAAUCCCCCAUCCUAGAAUUGACCAGAAAGUGCUGCUUUCACCUGCUGAUGGUACUGGGCACAUCCAUCUUCAGACCCAGGCAAGUUGUGGUCUACAGAUGUGCUGGGAUUUUCUGUUCCCUCUGGACCUGCACCCCACCAACCCGCAGCUAACUGCUGGGUUGGAUGGAGAGAGAUGACCUCCUUAGGUCAUUCCAGAUAUUUGUUCCCUACCAGGUUUUCUAAUGGAAUUGUCUGCUCUCUCCUCACAGCCACCUAUUUUUCUUCCCCUAAGAGCUUAGCCCAAAAUCCCGUGGAAAGCAGCCUGUCUCUGGCUCUCUUUCCCUGGGCCCCACCCUGGCCCCUCUUGGUUCUCCAGAGCCAAACACGCCUCCCCAGCAGAAGACACACCCAGCCCCAAAUCCAACUAUUCCAAAAGGGAGGGGAAAACAGUGGAAGAGAAAGGACCCAAAGGUCUCUUUUCUGUCCCAAAUAUCACCAACAGCAUUUUCCUUUUCAAGCCUCCUAGAUUUAUAAUCCCUUGAUUCUUCUCUCACCAGCUGUCCCCUUUACCCUUUUCGCCCAUAGUCCUCUGAUAAUAGAUCUUUGGGAAGGUGCGAAGACUGGGAGAAGGGUGUUUUCACCUUUCUUCCCUAGAGUGAGGCAUUUUUCAUCAACUCAGUCUUUUAAUUUUUGAGUAAGAUAUGUAAAUAUGUUUGCAUGCUUAUUUGAAACUUGGUUUCUGGAUGGCUAAAUAAUAGCUGGGACUCACAAGAAAGGGAAGGAAAAGAGAUGAGAAAUGAACAUCCCUCCCUCCCCUCCCAGGUUCCUCCAUAAGAGCAUCCCCAGAGUUGCUGAAGACCCUUCUGUAAAAGUCAACAGCCUUUCUUUCAUGACAUCACCACCUAAGCCCUUCCAACUUUAGCUUCAGAACAGGAAGAACGCUCAAAAUAGAACUAUCUUAGGAAUCUAGCUCCUUUAAAAGAUCAACUUUUAAAUCAGCUGCAGGAGGAACACUGAACUUUGACACAGGGAGGGGAAACUGAAGUGUUUGUAAUUGGUUCCUUUGGGGGAAAAGUGGAGGAUGCUUCCCAUGCAUAUUCAGAAAAGCUUUUCUCAAGAUAACUUAGGUACCCAGACCAAUGAAUGAUUAAUAGGAUGGUUUGGGAUUCAUUUAUUGAAUUAUUCAUAUGUUUCAGUAUGAUGCAACAAUAACAAGCAUUUUUCAGAAUGAAUUGAAGAGGGACUCCUGGAAUGUGCUCUAAAGAGUCUGCUAGAGAUAAAGGGGGUUGUGGAAGGAGGCUGGGAGGGAGCACUUCAGGAAGGUGAAGAAUCAGGAUUCAGUGACAGCUGCUCUGAGUAUGAAGUUCAGAGGCUCAUUGUAAACAAUGACUGUAACUUUUGUGUGGUAACUAUGGUCCUGGACCAAGAAGUAACCAUGUCAGGAUUUUCCACCUUUACCUUGGAACUGAACUGCG